AUUGAACGCUGGCGGCAGGCCUAACACAUGCAAGUCGAGCGAGCGGCGGACGGGUGAGUAAUGUAUGGGGAACUGCCCGAUAGAGGGGGAUAACUACUGGAAACGGUGGCUAAUACCGCAUACCAUCGGAUGAACCCAUAUGGGAUUAGCUAGUAGGUGGGGUAAAGGCUCACCUAGGCGACGAUCUCUAGCUGGUCUGAGAGGAUGACCAGCCACACUGGGACUGAGACACGGCCCAGACUCCUACGGGAGGCAGCAGUGGGGAAUAUUGCACAAUGGGCGCAAGCCCGAUGCAGCCAUGCCGCGUGUGUGAAGAAGGCCUUAGGGUUGUAAAGUACUUUCAGCGAGGAGGCGUUACCCGCAGAAGAAGCACCGGCUAACUCCGUGCCAGCAGCCGCGGUAAUUC
This 406-nucleotide ribosomal RNA is filed under the name uncultured bacterium. RNAcentral describes it as "partial 16S ribosomal RNA". It matches the Rfam family "Bacterial small subunit ribosomal RNA", at positions 30 to 526 of the family's 1533-position model. The record is from RNAcentral.